Equus caballus (horse) is the source of this 6512-nucleotide non-coding RNA. NCBI's taxonomy places the organism in Eukaryota, Metazoa, Chordata, Mammalia, Perissodactyla, Equidae. The record is from RefSeq and is a predicted model, not a curated record.
CGUUCUUCCUCGAACAUGACCCCUAAUUUCUACGGUACCUCAGAGGCCACCCCUGCCUUGACUUAGCCAAAAUUUUCUCCAAAGAAUUACAACGUGUCUGGCACGUUGUAAAUGCUCGGAAGGUAGCAUCAUUAUCAGGUACUGUUCAAGGCAAAGUGAGAAUGACAUGGUUUCGAUAACGUUACAGAGAAAUCGUUUUCAUUCUUCUGGUCUUGCCACAUGUGGACCUCUGGCUGCUCUGAAAAAAUCAACCAAUGAAUCCUAUUCGAAAGGCACACCUGUGUCAGUGGUUAUUUUCUCUACACCCACAACAUCUGUCAGGCUCAGGUUUUUCAUCCCUGCUGUGAAAAGUUCAAGUCCGGAAAAUGGAAAUGAGCUUUUCUAGUUAGUGUGCUACUUUUGCACAAGUACACGAUUGGGAUAUAGUGAACAACAGAAGGAAGACGUGGAUGAAUAGAUGUUUUACUGUACACUAAAAAACAAUCAUUUCCUCAGAGGAACUGCCUGAUAUCCUGCAGCAGGAGUUUUGCAACAAAUCUUUGAAAUGGAAGAAAAAGAGCUACUACUGAGUAACAUCUUUGGUGCAUUGUCAUCUCAUUUUGAAUCCUAAAAACUGUCAAAUACUGGAUUGGUGACUGUUUUGUAAGCUUUACCUCUGUUGCUUGUGGAUCCCUAAAGUAACUUGUUAAUAAGCCUGAUGACCGAAUCCCAAAAUUGUCUUAAAAGGACUCGUGGAUAUUCACAAUCUUCGUACAGGAGAAAGUAUGAUUAAACUCCCAAGGUCUAGUAGUGCAGCACUGGGAAUACAAGGUGAAAAAUUGAAGAAUUUGCCACAAAAGAUUUUAUAGAAUAUUCUGGGCUGAAAAAAUGGAUAUACAAUCGACUUUUUUAAAUAAGAUAAAUGUCUCAGUUGAUAAGUUCUAACCUGAGUCCUAAAUUAAAAAGCCAAGAGUGCAAUGUCCCAGUGGUUCUUGAUCAGGCACUCCCUGUGAUUAUAAAAAUGUGUAAAUGUGCUAUAAAGCAAGUCCCUCAUUUUUUCUAAUGAAGAACUAUGCCCGACAGGGUCCUUCAGAAAUGAAGAACUACACCCAACAGUGUAGUUCAGAAUCUUUCAGAUACUUUGGACACAAGAAUCAUUUCCUUACAAAGUCCAAGAGCAACAUGUUGCUGUAUGUGGUGAGCAGAGUCAUGUGAUACUCCGGUAGGAAACAUUCCUUCAAAACCCAUUUUGGAUGCAAUAGCAGGAAGUUGUUUUUCUCCCUUGCCAAACAAAAACUUUCACCCAGUCAGGUUUCUGAGUUAAUCAAACCACUUGGAAAAGUCAGUUACUCGCUACCAAGAGGAGUACUUUGUUUGGAAAACUAGAAAACUUGUUAUUUCCUCAUUUCAAUUCUUUUUUUGCCCGGGCAUUAUUGAAAUUUCUUAAUUCAUAUUUGCUGAUCACAUGCCAUCUAUUUGACUUUUUGCUAAACAUAUUUAUCCCUUAUUUUCUUCAUUAGGUGAGCUGGUUGUAAUUUCUAAGACUAGAAAAACAUGUGAAAUUUUGAUGUUUGAGGGUCUAGGAAGUCUUUAUGUUGAGCGAUGUUUUGCCUCUUUUCCAUAAUGAUUUAAGGAAGAGAUCAUGAAGAGGCACAUUGCUUGAGGUAUAAGAAAAUGGUUUGGCAAACUAAACCAUCUCAUAGAAAGGGAAUCUGGCAGCUUGUGGAAGGGCAGGCUCUUAACUGACCUAGUUGAAGAAUUGCAGUAUUGUCUUAGGGAUGGUGGUGGUGAUAUUAACCUCAGUAACAGAUGUUAGAAUCUGGUGAAAGAGCAAAUACCACUUUUUUUUUUUUUUGAGAGGAUUAGUUUAUUUUUUCUUAUCAACUCAAGUCUACCCAAAUAUGUCAGAUGGCUAGAUCUCAGGUAAGGGGUGUGUAUAGUGAUAAUAAAAACAGACUAUAAUAAUUUGGAGGUUUGUAUGUAUAUUAAUAUAAAUUUAUAAAAAUAUGUGAGUUAAUAUUUAUGAUUAUUGAAAUAUUCAGAAAGUUCUUUUCACUAGUACCAGAAGAAUUUUCAUAUUAUUGUGAAAUAUGAGGAAGGGCAGAUAAAAAAUACAAAGAAGGAGAAAGCAACUUGAUUCAGUUAAGCUUUUUUUGUAGGGGUGGACUCAAGGGAAACUUCUGACUUUUAAGUCAAAAAAAGGAAGCAAAUUUCAUUUAGUCAAAUAUAGAUGCUUUAUUAACUAUGUUCAGGUUGAGGGCAGUAGAGGAGAAGGCAAGACUGAGGGCUUAUGAGUAGAAAAGGCUUUGGAGUUGGGAAAAUUGAGUUCUAGUCCCUCCUUCAUGAAACAGUUCUAUUGAGAAAGAAAAAGAAAAGAAACUGCUAUUAAUUAUGCACCUAACUUCUAUCUAUGUCAGACCCUGUAUCAACUUUCAUCACAUCCCAGCCGUGUGACUUGUGACAAAUUAAUUUACUUCUCAAGCUUCAGUUUGCUUAGAUGAUAAUGACAGGGUUGGGUGAGAAUUAAAUGACAAUACUUGUAAAGCACUUAGAACAGUGUCUGGCACAAAGAAAGUAAGUGCACUGUAAAUAUUAGUCAUAAUUUUUAUUUUUAUGUCUUAUUUUCUAUCGUAUCAUGCUUGUAACUCACCUUUUGGAUUUGUUUCUUCAUCAAUAAAACCCAAGGCAAAGGAAGUUAGGUUAGUUGAUCUCUAAGAGCAUUUACAAAAUUUUGUGGUUGUUUAGUUAAAGAGAGUGAACAAGGCAAAGAGAAUAAAAUAAAGAGACUGAGUGGGAAAGAGACUGAAUAGAUUCUGGUUUGUAAAUGUAUCCAGUUAACAUGCUGCUUAUUUGGGGGCUAGGCUUCAAAGGAUUUUAACUUCCGUUUGAAAUCUUGUAAUUAGUUGAUUUCCAAUUGUUCAUAUAUCUGUAUUAUUUAAAAGAGAUUUUCUUGACCUUGAGUCAAAGAAGGUUGUAGAUAUGUUUAGAAGAUUUACGAACCUCCAGAAAGUGUACAGUAUGUACUGUAUGUGUUUUUUUCUGGAGAGAAGAUCUGUCUACCAUGAAGUUUUUAAAAGCGUCUGUGACUACCCCUUAAAACCUGAGAAUUACUGAUUUAAACCCUUCUACAUAUUCCAUCCUAUCCUCCUGCAUUUCUUUCUUAGCAUUUACGAUGGGACAAAAAUAUCUUCAUACUGUGACCAGUCAGAGAGUUCUGACCACACACCUCUUCCCCAGACCUCUUUGUCACCCAUUUUCCAAUUCUGUUCCUUUGAAGUUCAUAAUCACCCAGCCAAUCUAUUGGCCACUGCUUAUGAGUCAGUAUGGAUAUGUGCUUCUGAUCAUCUCCGCCUCCAGGUAAAAUGAACAACUAGGGCAUCGCUUGAAGUUUUGCCCACUGAAAGGGUUUCCCUUCAUCACAGUCCUUCAUGGUUCCUGAAAAAUGGCGCUGCCGAAGGGUCCCCUAGAGUAGGGAUGUAGUGCUGUAGCUGUCUACUUUCAGGUGAUGCCAGUAUAUUAUGCAGAACUAUCUAUAAACUAGACUAGAAUUUUUCUUCCUCUGUCAAGAAAGUCCCUAUGUAGCCAUGUUCGGGUUGAGAGAACAGAGGCAAUGCCGCAGGAGAAGGAGCCAUGCAAGUCUAAGUUGCUUGUGUUAUCUUAAUUUUACCUCCAGGUAAAUCUCGUAUAUAAAACUUCACCUGGAUGAUAGAGUGCUGCUAUGCACACACAACUUUAUUACUUGGUGGCUUAGACGUCUCCCAGUUCUUCGAGGGCAGAUCAAGUUGAAUGGUUACCUAGUGGCUCAUAGUCAGAUGUUCUGUCUUUAUUGGGGUGCAGUAGCGAGCCAGAAGCUAUCAAAAGAGAACACAUCUUCAGAUGAUGACUGAGCUUUGCUCCAAAAUUCUGAAGGUUUGCAAUGUGAUUCUAUAAAGAGUUGUCAAAGGCUUUGUACAGCAUUUCCAUCUGCUGCAACCACUUCAAACAGUUUUGGAUCUCCUGGGUUAUCAGGCUCCAGUGGCAGAUCAAUUUGUACGGCAGCUUGGACCUAUUACAGAGCAUUGUUUUGAUCUGGUCCUCAUUCAAAACUGAUAGGCUUUAGGUCUCUUAUUAAAUAAGCCAAAGCUGCACACUGCAAAUCCGAAGAACCCUUCACCUUGGAAAAUAUAUCUCAACAUACCUCCAGAACAUUGGACCCUAGACAUUUUACCAAAAUAGUAGGGCCUUGUGUUUUGAGGUGUUUGUUUCUCAUCUCUGGCAUGUAUGUAUCUAGUCAAGGUAUCUAGGAUAUCUGCUAUUUUUUUGCUCACCAGAUAAGAUCAGCAUGAUAUCAUCAAUGUAAAAGGCCAGCAUGAUAUAUCGUGGAAUAUAGAGGCUAUCAAGACCCCUGUGAACUAGAUUAUUACAUAAGGCUGGAGAGUUGAUACAGUUUUGCUGAUCUUGCCAGGUGAAAGCAAACUGCUUUUAGCAUCCUUUAUUAAAAGGCACAGCCAUAAAAGCAUUCACCACAUUAAUACCUUUUAACAAGGCAUGUGUUCAUUGCUUCAGUGAAAAAACCCACAACUGGAUUGGCAUCUGCAAUUGGAGUUACCAUAUGAUUAAGUUUAUGGUACUCCAUUGUCAUUUUGCAAGAUUCAACUGUCCUGUACAACCACUACAUCCUUUAGGUCCUUGGUGGAGGCCCUAAAUUUCGCAUUUCCUCCAAGAGUGUUAUAUUGCUUUUAGUUUAUUAUUUUGGAGGUAGAGCCAGUUCAACUUUAGCUUUCCUACUAUAAUAGUCCUCACUCCACAGGUCAGGAACCAAUAUAGAAAUACUACCAGAACUUGAGUAUUUUUCUUCUAACUUUGCAUUUUGGAAUCGGAAAAACAACCAUAGAAUAAAUUUGGGGACCCAGUAGGCUCACUGUGAAAUGGAACUGAGCCAAAACUACAUUAAUCACAUCUAUAAACUCCUUUGACUAGUGGACCAUAAUGAUAUUAUACAUCCCCAGGAAUGAGUAUCACUUUAGAACCAGUGUCCAUUAAUCUCUAGAAAGUGUAAUUUCCCUUCCAUAAUGCACAGUCACUCUGGUAAUAGCUGCAGGUCCCUUUGGAGAUGAGGAAGAGGAAGAGUUACAGGACUAGUUUCUAGCAGUGUUGCACAGUCCCUCCUCAAGAUCAGGCCUCUGUUUCAUUCGAAAGGCCCGAGGUCUGUGAACUGACUCGAUUCUAGAACCAGUGGAGGGGCUGUGGACUCUAUAUUGUGGUGAUUCAAGUGAAACAUCUAUUCACUAGACAUAAAAAAUAAGUUAAGAAUUUAGUAGGCUUCCAUUUUCCAAAUCUUUCUCAAGUUCUUCCUUUGGACUCUAACUGAGCUACUCAAGUAAUGGGAUUCUGGGAAAUGUAAUUCACCACCUUAGCCAAGUUGAAACAGCACAGUCCAGCAAGAGAUAAAUAAGUGUGCAUUUGAUUACAGUUUAAUGGGAUGUGCCUAUUCCCACAGCUUUGUGCAAAACACUGUGGUAGUACAGAAGAAGAAUUUAGGACUCCAGGGGAAUUAGACAAGGAUGGUUAGUGAGUGAUUUAUGAGCUGAAUUUUAGAAGGAGGAAAGGUGAUGGGGGCAAGAGGGGAACAUUUCAGGCAGCGUUUCAGAUAUUACUCAUUUGGCAAACUGCGAGUAGUUUACCACGACUGGAAGACGUGAUUUAAUGCAUGCAGGGUAGUUACAGGAGAUGAGGCUAGAUGUGACUUUUUAAAAACAAUCUUUAACCCAGAAAUUGUGCCUGUGUUUUAUAAAGAUAAUUUAGGCUUAUAAAUAAAUUAGGCUGAUAAAAAUUAACCUACAUUCAUCAAAAUAGAGACAUACAAUGAGAAUUUAAUUAUGUCCAUUAAAUUUGACCAAUGGAAAAUAUGGAGGCAAUAGCAAAUUGAUUUUCUCCUAAUUUACUUUAUUUUUGAGGUACUAAUAAGUAUUAAAAUAGCAAAUAAUCAUACAAGAGAAGAAACUUUCUUCAAAUUGGGGACGCAGACUAUGAAUAAUAAUAUGGAAUACAUAUAUUGCAAAAAUAAGGUAGUAUUAUCAUAACAAAACGUAUAAUUAUACAAAUUUAUAGUCGUUAUGGAUCAAAUUGUGUCCCAUAAAAAUUCACAUGUUGAAAUCCUAGCCAGAGUACUUCAGAAUGUAACCUUGGAGAUUAUUUCCUUAUGAAAAGGCAGACACACAUUGGAGACAGACAUGCAUAUAGACACCCUAAAAUAAAAGCAGAGAUCAGGAUGACACUUCUACAAGCCAAGGAAUGCCAAAGAUUGUCAAGAAUCACAAGGAGCUAGGAGAGAAGCAUGGAAGAGAUUCUUCUUCACAGCCCUCAGAAAGAACCAACCCUGCCAACAUGUUGAUCUUGGAACCCUAGCUUCUAGAACUACGAGACAAUAAACUUCUGUCGCUUAAGACACCCAGUCUGUGAUAUGUUACAGCACCCCUGGGAAAGUAACUCAAUAGUACUAAUUGAUUUUUUUAGAUAAACAUAAUAAAGAAAUAUUGUAAAAUUCCUGAUUA